Molecule: ribosomal RNA, 253 nt
Filed under: uncultured bacterium
Lineage: Bacteria
Description: partial 16S ribosomal RNA
Rfam family: Bacterial small subunit ribosomal RNA
Source: RNAcentral
GACGGAGGGGGCAAGCGUUGUCCGGAAUCACUGGGCGUAAAGCGCACGUAGGCGGGCCGGUGCGUCGGUGCUGAAAGCGCCAGACUUAACCUGGCGAGGCGUGCCGAUACGACCGACCUCGAGGCAGACAGAGGGUGGCGGAAUUCCGGGUGUAGUGGUGAAAUGCGUAGAGAUCCGGAGGAACGCCGGUGGCGAAAGCGGCCACCUGGGUCUGACCUGACGCUGAGGUGCGAAAGCUAGGGGAGCAAACAGG